CCAGGACGCCAGUUUUGGCGGAGCCAUCCUUGGGAUACCACCCUUGUAGUACUGGGACUCUAACCAUAGGCCAUGAAUCUGGGCUUGGGACACUGUCAGGUGGGCAGUUUGACUGGGGCGGUCGCCUCCCAAAAGGUAACGGAGGCGCUCAAAGGUUCUCUCAGUACGGUCGGAAAUCGUACGUAGAGUGUAAAGGCAAAAGAGAGCUUGAUUGCAAGACAUACAGGUCGAGCAAGGAUGAAAAUCGGACUUAG
Molecule: ribosomal RNA, 254 nt
Filed under: Clostridioides difficile
Lineage: Bacteria; Bacillati; Bacillota; Clostridia; Peptostreptococcales; Peptostreptococcaceae
Description: partial 23S ribosomal RNA
Rfam family: Bacterial large subunit ribosomal RNA
Source: RNAcentral